UGGGGAAUAUUGCACAAUGGGCGCAAGCCUGAUGCAGCCAUGCCGCGUGUGUGAAGAAGGCCUUCGGGUUGUAAAGCACUUUCAGCGAGGAGGAAGGUGGUGAACUUAAUACGUUCAUCAAUUGACGUUACUCGCAGAAGAAGCGCCGGCUAACUCCGUGCCAGCAGCCGCGGUAAUACGGAGGGUGCAAGCGUUAAUCGGAAUUACUGGGCGUAAAGCGCACGCAGGCGGUUUGUUAAGUCAGAUGUGAAAUCCCCCGGGCUCAACCUGGGAACUGCAUUUGAAACUGGCAAGCUAGAGUCUCGUAGAGGGGGGUAGAAUUCCAGGUNUAGCGGUGAAAUGCGUAGAGAUCUGGAGGAAUACCGGUGGCGAAGGCGGCCCCCCUGGACGAAAGACUGACGCUCAGGUGCGAAAA
This 415-nucleotide ribosomal RNA is filed under the name uncultured bacterium. Its description in RNAcentral is "partial 16S ribosomal RNA". It matches the Rfam family "Bacterial small subunit ribosomal RNA", at positions 355 to 759 of the family's 1533-position model. The record is from RNAcentral.